Molecule: ribosomal RNA, 522 nt
Filed under: uncultured bacterium
Lineage: Bacteria
Description: bacterial SSU rRNA
Rfam family: Bacterial small subunit ribosomal RNA
Source: RNAcentral
UAACUGGGCGUAAAGGGCACGCAGGCGGUGACUUAAGUGAGGUGUGAAAGCCCCGGGCUUAACCUGGGAAUUGCAUUUCAUACUGGGUCGCUAGAGUACUUUAGGGAGGGGUAGAAUUCCACGUGUAGCGGUGAAAUGCGUAGAGAUGUGGAGGAAUACCGAAGGCGAAGGCAGCCCCUUGGGAAUGUACUGACGCUCAUGUGCGAAAGCGUGGGGAGCAAACAGGAUUAGAUACCCCGGUAGUCCACGCUGUAAACGAUGUCGAUUUGGGGGUUGAACUUUGUGUUUGGCGCCCGUAGCUAACGUGAUAAAUCGACCGCCUGGGGAGUACGGCCGCAAGGUUAAAACUCAAAUGAAUUGACGGGGGCCCGCACAAGCGGUGGAGCAUGUGGUUUAAUUCGAUGCAACGCGAAGAACCUUACCUACUCUUGACAUCCAGAGAACAUUCCAGAGAUGGAUUGGUGCCUUCGGGAGCUCUGAGACAGGUGCUGCAUGGCUGUCGUCAGCUCGUGUCGUGAGAAG